Camellia sinensis is the source of this 5575-nucleotide long non-coding RNA. RefSeq lists it as uncharacterized. NCBI's taxonomy places the organism in Eukaryota, Viridiplantae, Streptophyta, Magnoliopsida, Ericales, Theaceae. The record is from RefSeq and is a predicted model, not a curated record.
AAUUGAUGGAUACAACUUUUGGGGACGAAAGGUAGACUGUGAGAGAUGAGUGUGUGUGUGUGUGAUGGGGAUGACAGUGGAAUGGAUGUGUGCAAAACCGUUCAGAGAGACGGGUUUGGGGGUUUGAGUGUGUGUGGGUGUGCAAGAGGGUAGAUGUGGAAUAAAAGGUGUGUGCAGUUAGCAAAAUAAUUUAUGAUUAAUUUUUUAAGUGUGUGUAUUGAAAAAGAUGUGCAAAGAGUGGAAUGGGUGUGUGCAAAUAGAAGCUUGCAGAAUAGAUAGAUACCAAAUUUAGCUCAUCUUCUCACAUCAAACCCUAACCACUGUCCAUUGCCAGCCGCCACCCCUCCUCUUCGGUCACCACACCUCGCCCCACCACUACCGUAGCCCUACCAUCGCCGUCCCACACCAUCGCUACAACGUACAACCGCCCAACCCCAUUUAUCGCGACCCCGUUCGCAGUUACAGAUCUCUUUCUCUCUGUGAAUUGCGAGUAGUGGGUCACCGAUCGGAGGUGAGUUGCGAGGGUGAUAGUCUCUACAUUAUGAGAGGCACGAUGGUGUUGGUUGCUGUAAUGGUGGUGGUUGCGAAGUCGUAGAGGCAGCGAUGGGGCUGGAAGGCGGCGGAGCGUCGGAGCUAAGGAGGAAUGGGGCGUUUACCGGUGACUGGUGUUGAUUGUGGUGGCGGUGGGUUUGUAUUGAGAAUUAGAUUUAGGGCUCUGUCCUAAAAGGUAAUUUACUUGAGGGAGAUAAUGGUAAUAAAAAAUGAGGGGCUUAUCCAUAAAUAUAUUAGAGCAUAAGGACCUCCUCGUAAAUUCAGAGUAUUACACAUAUAAGUUUAUAUCACUUUUUUCUUCCCCAUUCGAUGUCGAAGCUCUGCCAAUGAAUGAAAUCCAUUUUCUUUUUUAAAAACUUCGCAACCUCAAACUCGAAUCCCACAGGAGCUCACAACAUGGCUAUGUAAAUGUCUUCCCACAGAGUAUGCUAUAUAUAAAUAUAGUACUUAUAUAAACACACUCAUGUACACAUACACACACUCAGACUAAGCGCUUUCACUAGUUCACAUUGUUCACUGGAAACUUCAAUCAAGUGCUUUUUCAUAGUGACUUUUGUUUAUGUAUGCAAAUUGGUAUUGACUGCAUGUGUAUAACUUAGGUUAUGUGAUAAUUCAGGUAUGUAAUUGUGGUUUAGGCGUAUGUAUAUAUGGGUAUAGUAUGUUUAUGUGUUGGCUUGAAUAAGUUACAAAUAUAAAAUCACCUGCAUGCCGGUUGCUAGACAAAAUGUUAGUAAGGGUUUGCUUGUGUGCACACUCAGGUGAUAGGGUUGCAUUUUUUUCUCCCUUCUAUGGGAUUAGUGGGUUAAAGUAGAAAUAUGAUUAAUUAAAUUUGGAUGGAUUGCAAGAAGGUACCAGGAAAGGAACUUGGACUUAUUGUAGUUGGAGCUUCAACUUUAUUAUAACAUUCUAAGCUUCCAUUGUGUUUCUAAUGCCUUUUGGAUGAUCAAACUGAGGUGUGGAGCAUAUGGAUUUGUCUAAUUAUUUUUGAAGAAUCAAGAAGGUUUUAAUUUGUUUCUUUGAAAGCAUUUGAAAAGAUAUAUAAAUUGAAACUGUUAAUUUUGCCUCACACCCUGCCAAUUUUUAGAUAAUAUCAAAUUACCCUCAUAUUCUCUAGUAAACCCUAACCACUGCCCAUUGCCGGUUGCCACGCCUCCCCACCGGUCUCCACCCUUCGCCCCUACUGGCCCACCACCAUUGUAGCCCCUUCCACCGCUGCUCCAUUAUCAUUGCAGCCCCUGUCGCCGUGACGUACAACUGCCACAACCCUCACCCAUCUCAACCUCGUCGCAAUCACAGAUCUCUCUCUUUUUCUCUUUGUGUGGAUUGCGAGUAGUGGGUCACCGAUCGGAGGUAAGUUGCGAAGAUGGUGGUCUCCGGGUGAUAAGAGGUACGAUGGUGGUGGUCAUGGGGUGGUGGGUCGUUGGGGAUGAUGGCUGUAAUGGUGGUGGUUGCGAAGUGGUGGAGACAACAACGGGGCUGAAGAGGAGUGAGGUAGUUCACCUGCUGUUAGUGUUAAAGGCAUUAGUUGGUGUGUAUUUAGGGAUUAGAUUUAGGGUUUUGAUCUAAUAGGUAAUUUACUUGAGGGACAUAAUAGUAGUAAAAAAAAUAAGGGUAUAGGGUUUAGCCAUAAAUAUAUUAGAGCAUAGGGACCUCGUUGUAAAUAAAAAGUAUUACACAUAUAGUAUGUAGAAAUAGAGCCUGAGGUUCUUAGUUCAUAUAUAUCCAUAAAUCCUCAUAUUCUUCUUCCCCAUUUGAUGUUAAAGCUCUGCCAAUGAAUGGAAGCCACUUUAUUUCUUAAAAACUUGGUAGCCUCAAACUUGGAUCCCAGCAGGACUCAAAUGGCUAUGCAAACGUCUGCCUAUAGAAUAUGCUAUAUAUAUAUAUAUAUAUACACAUACACACACACACACACUCAAAUUAAGCACUUUCACAAGUUCACAGUUCAUUGGAAACUUCAAUCAAGUGCUUUUUUGAACCCCCCAUGGUGAUUUUUGUUUGUGUUGGUAAAUUUGGUGUUAAUUUGUAUUGAAUGCAUGUGAAUAACUCAGGUUAUGUGAUAAUUUGCAUAGGUAGGUACGCAAUUAUGGAUUAGGUGUGUGUUUAUGUUUGUAUAUCAUGUAUAUGUGUUAGCUUGAUUGAGUUACAAAUAUUAAAUCACAAGCAUGCCAGUUGCUUGACAAAAUGUCACUAUGGGGUUUGUGUCAGUUUUGCUAUUGUUGUGACAUACAUAUAUAAUUCAGCUUUAUGUUUGAAUGUGUGCACAUUCAAGUAAAAGUUUUGUAUCUUUUUUUUGCUAGAUCAGUGGGUUACAGUAGAAAAAUGAUUAAUCAAAUUUGGAUCGAUUGCAAGAAGGUACCUGGAAAGGAACUUGGACUUAUUAUAGCUUCCAUUGUGUUUCUAAUGCCUUUUGGAUGAUCAAACAGAGGUGUAGAGCAUAUGGAUUUGUUUAAUUCUUUUUGAAGAAUCAAGAAGGUUUUAAUUUUUUUCCUUUGAAAGCAUGUGGGAGCAUCUAGUUUUCCUAGUUUGUGUUUGAGAUCCACAGGGAGUGUACAGGUGUUUAAGUGACAGGAACUAAAUUUAAAGAGUUACUUCUAGGCAUCAUGGCAAUAUAGAGUAAUGCAGAUAAUACCAAAUUACCCUCAUCUUAUCCCAGCAAACCCUAAACCCUAACCACUAUCCACCGUCGGUUGCCACCCCUCCUCUCUGGACGCCACCCCUCACUCCCGCUGCCCCACUACCAUUGUAGCCCCUACCACCACUGUUGUACCACCAUCACAACCCCCAUUGCCAUGACUUAUGCCGCAACCCCCUAUCCAUCAUGACCCCGUCACAAUCACAGAUUACUCUCUCUUUUUAUGGACUGCAAGUAGUGGGUCACCGAUAUGAGUGGGUUGCAAUGGUGGUGGUCUCCGGGUGAUGAGAAACGCAAUGGUGGUGGUCAUGGGGUGGUGGGUCGUUGGGGAUGGUCGUUGUGAUGGUGGUGGUUGCGACGUGGUGAAGGUAAAUAUGGGGCUGGAAGGUGGUGGUGGAGCGAUAGGGCGAGAAUGGAGGGGUUCACCAGCGGCUGGUAUGAUGGUGGCGGCGGUGGGUGUGUAUUGAGAAUUAGAUUUAGGGUUUUGUCCUAAAAGGUAAUUUACGUAAAGGACAUAAUGGUAAUAAGAAAAUAAGGGUUUGGGGUUUAGCCAUAAAUAUAUUGGAGCACAGGGACCUCCUCGUAAAUUCAAUGUAUUACACAUAGUAUGCAAAAAUCGAGCUUGAGAUUUUAGUUCAUUCUUAUCCAUAAGUCCUUAUCUUCUUCCCCUUUCAAUGUCGAAGCUUUGCUAACGAAUGAAAUCCACUUUCUUCCUUAAAAACGUUGCAACCUCAAACUUCAAUCCCAGUGGAGCUUAAAUGGCUAUGAAAAGUUCUUCCCAUAGAGUAUGCUAUAUAUAUAUAUAUAUAUUAUAUUUCUAUACACACUCAUGUACAUAUACACAAUCAAACUAAGCACUUUCACAUGUUCACAGCUCACCGAAAACUUCAAUCAAGUUCUUUUUCGAACUCCUCAUGGUGAUUUUUGUUUAUGUUUGUAAAUUGGUGUUAAUUUGUAUUGAUUGUAUGUGAAUAACUCAUGUUACGUGAUAAUUUGCAUAGGCAGGUAUGGAAUUAUGGAUUAGGCGUGUGUUUAUAUCCGUAUAGUACGUAUAUGUGUUGUUAUUGUUGUGACAUAAUUAUAUAAUUCAUCUAUAUGUGUGCACAUUUAGGUAAAAGGGUUGUAUCUUUCUUUCCUGAGGGAUCACUGGGUUAAAGUAGAAUGAUAAUUAAUCAAAUUUGGAUGGAUUGCAAGUAGGCAUCAGGAUAGGAACUUGGACUUUUUGUAGCUGCAGAUUCAACUUUGUUAUAACAUUCUAAGCUUCCAUUGUGUUUCUAAUGCCUUUUGGAUGAUCAAACAGAAGUGUGGAGUCACCAGUUUAAUGUAAUGAAUUAUCAGAACUUUUGGCAUAAUUAAGAUUUAAGUUUUCUCCAUACCUCUGAUUUUCUCUCUCUCUCUCUCUCGCUCUCUCUCUCUGCAGAAUCUAUCUCCCUUUCUUUUUUUCUUCUUUUUUAUUUAAGAUUUGAUUGUUGUUUUGAGUUAUUUUAGUGUGGCAGUCAUCGGAUUACGAUGCUAGAAAGAAGCUCACACCAUUGGGGUUUUUGGCAAAGGUAGCCAAGUUUGUGAAAGCCACUGUUAAGACACAAAUGGCUUCAUUUAAGGUUGGCUGCUUGAAUUUCUAGUAUCCGUAAUAAAACAUCAAAGUAAUCUUUAACAUAUGCCCUCUGUAGUCUUUGUAAAGUUAAUAAUUGUUCUUAGUGUACACUCAAUUUUCACCUAAAAAAUUCCUUUUUGCUUGCAAAUCAAUGCUAAGGUUAGUUUAGGGGAUGCUCGAAUACGAAGCAUAUAUGUUCAAUUUUUACAGCGAUUUGGAGUAUGGGGAGACUGGGAUCAUCCUUACCUGACUCUCGAUCUAGAUUAUGAGGCUGCUCAGGUACCUAGUACAGCUUUUUCAAAAGUUUAUUUUCUGGGGAUUCUCGACAUUAAAUUUAAGUUGAGAAGUUCCUAUGACAAUGUAGUCUUAUAAAUCUGUACGAUGAACCAUAACUCUCUGAGUUGUCAUUAAUUCUGGGAUUCUAUUAAUGUUUCUGAUUGUUAUCACUCUUUAGAAUAGUAGUCAUACCACACUUAAAGAGACACCACUAUAUAGUUACACGGAUGAAAGGGUGUUUCUAUCUUUCUCAUGCUGAUGUUAUAAUUUGUUGAGUUGCUUAGCUGUUUCUCUUCUGCACCCUUCCUUUACUGGAUUGAGGUGAUAGGUGAGAUGGCCUUUCAAGGGUAUAUCUAUACAAGCAAAAAACUAGUCCACUGGAGUCCCUCAUAGUGAGCUGAUCUUGCAAAGGCUGAGUUAGAGGUUAUAUAUUUUUAUUUGGAGAUGAAAAUGAUGUCAUCCAAUGUUAUAAAGUAAGUUUUUUUUGGGGUAAUAUUCCAAAAGAUAGGGGGUGUUUGGUG